Long non-coding RNA from Lemur catta (Ring-tailed lemur), 976 nucleotides. RefSeq lists it as uncharacterized. The transcript is spliced from 8 exons. The record is from RefSeq and is a predicted model, not a curated record. Lineage: Eukaryota; Metazoa; Chordata; Mammalia; Primates; Lemuridae.
CAGUGAGAACCCCCGAGAACUCUCGAGAAGAGCCGACCAUGAAGAUCCCAGAGUGGGACAGUUCUCUUUGCCGAGUGUCGCCGCUGACGUUCAGCGGUCCUUGCUCGGCGCGGAAGUUGCGGCGCUCGCGGGUAGGAACGUGCCGCAGCUCUCAAAAGUGUGGGCCAGAGCAAACGUUGAGGACCUUUGCACCGUGCAGUGGGCCUCCAAGGUUAAAUGUGAUACAGCCAUGGUGAAUAAUGAACAAGAAAAUCAUUCCGUCAGGUAGAAUUGUUACAGCCAGGUUGCAGACCAAGAAAAUCACCCCAAUUCCAGGGGAAGUCUUCAUAAGCCCUGCCCAACAGGAAAUGACCUUGCUCUACUUCAGUCCAUGAAGCCACUUGCGGUACAAUUUGCCAUCUAGGAACAUCAAGGGGCGCAGAUCAAUUAAUACAGGUAAUGAUCACUUUGAUUUUCCUCCAGGCCAAAUGGAUCAAGAUCAGACAGAUAAGAAUUCUCACUGGAAACCACCAGUUUUAGGUGAAGUAGUGACUUGUGGGAUGACCGAAUUUGGUCCUCAUGGAUUUAACAGAAGAUACCCUCACCUAGAAGAAAGACCAGGAGAAAAGGCAGUGGCCCAAAAGAGAAACAGGCUCAAAUGUGAUGAAGAAUAAGUUGAUAGGACCCCCAGGAGAAGGGGUCACAGAGCACUACAAAAGCCAAGCUCCCCAAAGAGGUCAGCGCAGCCUCAGCGGCCCAAAGGUCAACACAUCAAGAUAAAUCAGGUGGAAAUUCUGGGCCAUCUGGAGGUGGAGGGACCCGGACGGAGGGAGGAAGCUAAAACAGAGACUCAGCUCUCCCGGGCACGUGGUCACAGUGACAUUUCUGGGACACAGUCAGGCCCUCCCCUUCCUUACACUGCUGGACACCAUCUCUCUGCUCCCAUAAAUGCCUUGGGUCUCACUCAGUCUCUUGGGCUAGACUGCAGUGGUGUCAU